GUGAGGAAUAUUGGGCAAUGCCCGCAAGGGUGACCCAGCAACGCCGCGUGAAGGAUGAAGGCCGUAAGGUUGUAAACUUCUGUUAGAGGGGACGAAUGGUCCCGGUAGUACCGGGAUUUGACUGUACCUUCAGAGAAAGCCCCGGCUAACUAUGUGCCAGCAGCCGCGGUAAUACGUAGGGGGCAAGCGUUGUCCGGAUUUACUGGGUGUAACGGGCGCGCAGGCGGACUGACAAGUCAGAGGUGAAAUCCUGCAGCUUAACUGCAGCACUGCCUUUGAAACUGCCGGUCUUGAGUGCGGAAGAGAGAGACGGAAUUCCAGGUGUAGUGGUGAAGUACGUAGAUAUCUGGAAGAACACCAGUUGCGAAGGCGGUCUCUUGGUCCGUUACUGACGCUCAGGCGCGAAAGCGUGGGUAGCAAACAGGAUUAGAAACCCGGGUAGUCC
This 445-nucleotide ribosomal RNA is filed under the name uncultured bacterium. RNAcentral describes it as "partial 16S ribosomal RNA". It matches the Rfam family "Bacterial small subunit ribosomal RNA", at positions 354 to 796 of the family's 1533-position model. The record is from RNAcentral.